GAUGAACGCUGGCGGCGUGCCUAAUACAUGCAAGUCGAACGAAGAUCUAGCUUGCUAGAUCUUAGUGGCGAACGGGUGAGUAAUACAUAAAUAAUCUGCCCAUAUGACUGGGAUAACUAUUGGAAACGAUAGCUAAUACCGGAUAGGUUGAUCGGAGGCAUCUCUGAUGAAUUAAAGUAGGAUUUCUACACAAAUGGAUGAGUUUAUGGCGCAUUAGUUAGUUGGUGGGGUAACGGCCUACCAAGACGAUGAUGCGUAGCCGACCUGAGAGGGGGACCAGCCACACUGGGACUGAGACACGGCCCAGACUCCUACGGGAGGGAGCAGUAGGGAAUUUUCGGCAAUGGGCGCAAGCCUGACCGAGCAACGCCGCGUGAGUGAUUAAGGCCUUCGGGUUGUAAAGCUCUGUUGUAAGGGAAGAACAUUCAGGAUAGGAAAUGAUCUUGAACUGACGGUACCUUACCAGAAAGCCACGGCUAACUACGUGCCAGCCGCCGCCGUAA
This 503-nucleotide ribosomal RNA is filed under the name uncultured bacterium. Its description in RNAcentral is "partial 16S ribosomal RNA". It matches the Rfam family "Bacterial small subunit ribosomal RNA", at positions 28 to 523 of the family's 1533-position model. The record is from RNAcentral.